CCUACGGGGGGCAGCAGUGGGGAAUAUUGGACAAUGGGGGCAACCCUGAUCCAGCCAUGCCGCGUGUGUGAAGAAGGCCCUCGGGUUGUAAAGCACUUUCAGUGAGGAAGAACGCCUGGUGGUUAAUACCCAUCAGGAAAGACAUCACUCACAGAAGAAGCACCGGCUAACUCCGUGCCAGCAGCCGCGGUAAUACGGAGGGUGCGAGCGUUAAUCGGAAUUACUGGGCGUAAAGCGCGCGUAGGUGGCUUGAUAAGCCGGUUGUGAAAGCCCCGGGCUCAACCUGGGAACGGCAUCCGGAACUGUCAAGCUAGAGUGCAGGAAAGGAAGGUAGAAUUCCCGGUGUAGCGGUGAAAUGCGUAGAGAUCGGGAGGAAUACCAGUGGCGAAGGCGGCCUUCUGGACUGACACUGACACUGAGGUGCGAAAGCGUGGGUAGCAAACAGGAUUAGAUACCCCGGUAGUC
Molecule: ribosomal RNA, 465 nt
Filed under: Vreelandella stevensii
Lineage: Bacteria; Pseudomonadati; Pseudomonadota; Gammaproteobacteria; Oceanospirillales; Halomonadaceae
Description: partial 16S ribosomal RNA
Rfam family: Bacterial small subunit ribosomal RNA
Source: RNAcentral